CCGAGCUCAGAUCAGCGUGGGGCGGAGGAGAAGUGGGAUUUGGAAGCUCAGGGGCACAGGGGCCCAGGGGCACAGGCCCACGACUGCAGUGGGAUGGACCAGUACUGCAUCCUGGGCCGCAUCGGGGAGGGCGCCCACGGCAUCGUCUUCAAGGCCAAGCACGUGGAGACUGGCGAGAUAGUUGCCCUCAAGAAGGUGGCCCUAAGGCGGUUGGAGGACGGCAUCCCUAACCAGGCCCUGCGGGAGAUUAAGGCUCUGCAGGAGAUGGAGGACAAUCAGUAUGUGGUGCAACUGAAGGCUGUGUUCCCACAUAGUGCAGGCUUUGUGCUGGCCUUUGAGUUCAUGCUGUCGGAUCUGGCCGAGGUGGUGCGCCAUGCCCAGAGGCCACUAGCCCAGGCACAGGUCAAGAGCUACCUGCAGAUGCUGCUCAAGGGCGUCUCCUUCUGCCAUGCCAACAACAUUGUACAUCGGGUCAGUCUCAGCAUAGGCCAGGCAUGGGGUCUGGGGAGCUGACUUGGCUUGGGGAUGGGGCUAGCCCUUGUAGAACGUGUGAUAAGAAGUUGGGACAGAGCUGGUCAAGG
Molecule: small RNA, 581 nt
Filed under: Pongo abelii (Sumatran orangutan)
Lineage: Eukaryota; Metazoa; Chordata; Mammalia; Primates; Hominidae
Description: retained intron
Source: RNAcentral